GGUAGGAUGACAGAGUGGUUGAAUGUGCCGGUCUCGAAAACCGGUUUCCGCUUUAUGCGGAACGUGGGUUCGAAUCCCACUCCUACCGCCA
Molecule: transfer RNA, 91 nt
Filed under: bacterium ADurb.Bin400
Lineage: Bacteria
Description: tRNA-Ser
Rfam family: tRNA
About the family: Transfer RNA (tRNA) molecules are approximately 80 nucleotides in length. Their secondary structure includes four short double-helical elements and three loops (D, anti-codon, and T loops).
Source: RNAcentral